GAAUCCUAAUCUAAUUUGAAUCUAAUUCGAAUCUAAUUAGGUCAAAUUCAAUUUAACUCAAGUCCAAUCAAAUUAGAUUUGAUUUAAUUCGAUCUAAUUUGGUCAAAUCAAAUUACAUAGCAACAAUUGCAUCUAAGUCCUCCUCUAAUUCACUAACUCUUAGCAAGUCCUCUCUUGUGACUUUUACAAAUUAGUCUAAUAAUCAAUCAUAUUGAUACUUAGAUCUAACUAUGAUUCCAAAAAUAUGAAUCA
Molecule: long non-coding RNA, 252 nt
Filed under: Elaeis guineensis (African oil palm)
Lineage: Eukaryota; Viridiplantae; Streptophyta; Magnoliopsida; Arecales; Arecaceae
Description: long non-coding RNA (EGUI_LNC009234)
Source: RNAcentral